This 253-nucleotide ribosomal RNA is filed under the name uncultured bacterium. Its description in RNAcentral is "partial 16S ribosomal RNA". It matches the Rfam family "Bacterial small subunit ribosomal RNA", at positions 524 to 776 of the family's 1533-position model. The record is from RNAcentral.
UACGGGGGGGGCAAGCGUUGUUCGGAAUUACGGGGCGUAAAGGGCUCGUAGGCGGCCAACUAAGUCAGACGUGAAAUCCCUCGGCUUAACCGUGGAACUGCAUCUGAUACUGGAUGGCUUGAGUUUGGGAGAGGGAUGCGGAAUUCCAGGUGUAGCGGUGAAAUGCGUAGAUAUCUGGAGGAACACCGGUGGCGAAGGCGGCAUCCUGGACCGGCAUUGACGCUGAGGAGCGAAAGCCAGGGGAGCAAACGGG